This is a ribosomal RNA of Lepisosteus oculatus (spotted gar), 118 nucleotides long. The record is from Ensembl. Lineage: Eukaryota; Metazoa; Chordata; Actinopteri; Semionotiformes; Lepisosteidae.
GCCAGCAGCCAUCUCACCCUGCAACUCACAACUGGUAACCCACUGAAGCUCAGCAGGUGUGAGCCUGGUCAGUACCUGGAUGGGAGACUCCUGGGAAAAACUAAGGUUGCUGCUGGAA